Molecule: transfer RNA, 51 nt
Filed under: Chloroflexota bacterium
Lineage: Bacteria; Bacillati; Chloroflexota
Description: Chloroflexi bacterium (soil metagenome) tRNA-Gly
Rfam family: tRNA
About the family: Transfer RNA (tRNA) molecules are approximately 80 nucleotides in length. Their secondary structure includes four short double-helical elements and three loops (D, anti-codon, and T loops). Further hydrogen bonds mediate the characteristic L-shaped molecular structure. tRNAs have two regions of fundamental functional importance: the anti-codon, which is responsible for specific mRNA codon recognition, and the 3' end, to which the tRNAs corresponding amino acid is attached (by aminoacyl-tRNA synthetases). tRNAs cope with the degeneracy of the genetic code in two manners: having more than one tRNA (with a specific anti-codon) for a particular amino acid; and 'wobble' base-pairing, i.e. permitting non-standard base-pairing at the 3rd anti-codon position.
Source: RNAcentral
GCGGGAGUAGCUCAGUUGGUAGAGCGCUAGCCUUCCAAGCUGGAUGUCGCG